RNAcentral lists this ribosomal RNA (450 nucleotides) under uncultured bacterium. RNAcentral's name for it is "partial 16S ribosomal RNA". It matches the Rfam family "Bacterial small subunit ribosomal RNA", at positions 354 to 796 of the family's 1533-position model. The record is from RNAcentral.
UUGGGGAAUAUUGGACAAUGGGCGAAAGCCUGAUCCAGCCAUGCCGCGUGUGUGAAGAAGGUCUUCGGAUUGUAAAGCACUUUAAGUUGGGAGGAAGGGCAGUAAGUUAAUACCUUGCUGUUUUGACGUUACCGACAGAAUAAGCACCGGCUAACUUCGUGCCAGCAGCCGCGGUAAUACGAAGGGUGCAAGCGUUAAUCGGAAUUACUGGGCGUAAAGCGCGCGUAGGUGGUUUUGUAAGUUGGAGGUGAAAUCCCCGGGCUCAACCUGGGAACUGCCUCCAAAACUGCAUGACUAGAGUACGGUAGAGGGUAGUGGAAUUUCCUGUGUAGCGGUGAAAUGCGUAGAUAUAGGAAGGAACACCAGUGGCGAAGGCGACUACCUGGACUGAUACUGACACUGAGGUGCGAAAGCGUGGGGAGCAAACAGGAUUAGAUACCCGUGUAGUCC